AAACUUUCUUUUCUUGCUGAUAUAGGUCUGAAAAUAGCUGGCAGAUUACAGCCUGGAAAGUAUGGCUUUCAGAACAGUGGAAUCCAAAACAACAUUGCCAAUGUUGAGAAACUAUUUACAAAAAGCGAGGAGGCACACCUGCAACGUUCCAGGCUGAAGCAGGAAGGACGACCUCUAGAAAUACAAGAUGGGAAAGCUCUGAGAACAUUCCACAGAACACAAAGAAGGUUCUCUGAAGAAGCAGCAACUGUUUUUGAGGUAUCAGUCUA
RNAcentral lists this long non-coding RNA (269 nucleotides) under Phasianus colchicus (ring-necked pheasant). RNAcentral describes it as "lncRNA (ENSPCLG00000012833.1)". Lineage: Eukaryota; Metazoa; Chordata; Aves; Galliformes; Phasianidae. The record is from RNAcentral.